Molecule: ribosomal RNA, 783 nt
Filed under: uncultured Gemmatimonadota bacterium
Lineage: Bacteria; Pseudomonadati; Gemmatimonadota
Description: bacterial SSU rRNA
Rfam family: Bacterial small subunit ribosomal RNA
Source: RNAcentral
GACGAACGCUGGCGGCGUGCUUAACACAUGCAAGUCGUACGAGGGCCCCGGUGCUUGCACUGGGUGACCCGAGUGGCGAACGGGUGAGUAACACGUGACCAACCUGUCCUAGGGUGAGGGACAACCCGGGGAAACCUGGGCUAAUACCGCAUGAUGUCACACAAACGCAUGUGCGUGUGAUCAAAGAGGGCCUCUGCUUGCAAGCUCUCGCCCAAGGAGGGGGUCGCGGCGUAUCAGUUAGUUGGUAGGGUAACGGCCUACCAAGACGACGACGCGUAGCGGAUCUGAGAGGAUGAUCCGUCACAUUGGGACUGAGAUACGGCCCAGACUCCUACGGGAGGCAGCAGUGGGGAAUAUUGCGCAAUGGGCGAAAGCCUGACGCAGCGACGCCGCGUGUGGGAGGAAGCCUUUCGGGGUGUAAACCACUGUCAGAGGGGAAGAACAGCGUCCAUGUCGAACAGGCAUGGCGUUUGACGGUACCCUCAAAGGAAGCGCCGGCUAACUCCGUGCCAGCAGCCGCGGUAAGACGGAGGGCGCAAGCGUUGUUCGGAAUUACUGGGCGUAAAGCGCGGGCAGGUUGUCCGUUAAGUCGUCUGUGAAAACCCGGGGCUCAACCCCGUGGAAUGCAGACGAUACUGGCGGGCUGGAGAUCGGUAGAGGCUAGCGGAAUUCCUGGUGUAGCGGUGGAAUGCGUAAAUAUCAGGAAGAACACCCGUGCCGAAGGCGGCUAGCUGGGCCGAGUCUGACRCUCAUCCGCGAAAGCGUGGGGAGCAAACAGGAUUA